Molecule: non-coding RNA, 692 nt
Organism: Nylanderia fulva
Lineage: Eukaryota; Metazoa; Arthropoda; Insecta; Hymenoptera; Formicidae
Source: RefSeq, a predicted model, not a curated record
UCUCUCGAGAAAGCAAGAUUAAAAUUGAGCAACACACUUUUGGCUAAAAUAACGUCUGUGAUUCAACAAACAAAAGGCUAAAGAUUGUUGAAAUCCAAUAUGAUGUUUCUAGAAUGGUCAUUAAAUAUAUUAUUAUACAUUACUGUAAUAACAAUGGCCACUUUUACUAAUGAAAACGCAAAAAUUCCGUGCCAUACCGUACCUAAUUACCGUAAUUCAUUAAACAACGACUGUAUAAUGCCGAUUCAUUACAACCUGGACAUGAUAGUGUUACCAGGCAUUUCAUUUAUUGGCGAGUUGAAUGUCACUUUUUAUAUUAAUUGUGAAAUAUCCAAUAUAACUCUACAUAUUGCAAGAUCCGAGCAUAUAGUGAAAGUGAUGCUUAAAUCGCCUAAUGGAACAAUCUAUACUCCAAAUUUUGAUUAUUCGAGAAAUUUUGCUACUUUGAAUUUCAUUAAAUAUUUAUCGCCUGAAAAUACACACUUAGAUUGUGGAGUUUAUACAAUGUACGUAAAAUAUGAAAUCAUAUUUGUUCAUCGGCAUUAUGGAAUGUACUAUAUAAAAAGAGAAGAUAGAAAAGAUAAAGAGUUUCUAUUCGCAAAUUUACUCCAACCGAGAAAUGCUCGACAAUUAUUUCCGUGUUGGGACGACCCAAAACUGAAAGCAACUUUUAACAUCACCGUCAAAUUCGA